GGCGCACGGGUGAGUAACACGUAAGUAACCUACCUUUAGAUUUGGAAUAACCCCGAGAAAUCGGGGCUAAUACUGAAUGAUGCAGCGGCACCACAAGGUGAUGUUGUUAAAGUCUAUAUGACGUCUAAAGAUGGGCUUGCGUCUGAUUAGCUAGUUGGUGAGGUAACGGCCCACCAAGGCUACGAUCAGUAGCUGGUCUGAGAGGAUGAUCAGCCACACUGGAACUGAGACACGGUCCAGACUCCUACGGGAGGCAGCAGUGAGGAAUAUUGGGCAAUGCCCGAAAGGGUGACCCAGCAACGCCGCGUGGAGGAUGAAUGCCGUAAGGUUGUAAACUCCUGUUAGAGGGGAAGAAAAAUCUCGAUCAAAUCGAGAACUGACUGUACCCUCAGAGAAAGCCCCGGCUAACUACGUGCCAGCAGCCGCGGUAAUACGUACGGGGCAAGCGUUGUCCGGAUUUACUGGAUGUAAAGGGCGCGCAGGCGGGUUGACAA
This 494-nucleotide ribosomal RNA is filed under the name uncultured bacterium. RNAcentral's name for it is "bacterial SSU rRNA". It matches the Rfam family "Bacterial small subunit ribosomal RNA", at positions 97 to 586 of the family's 1533-position model. The record is from RNAcentral.